UACGUAGGGGGCAAGCGUUGUCCGGAAUUAUUGGGCGUAAAGAGCGCGUAGGCGGUCCGGUAAGUCGGUUGUGAAAGUCGGGGGCUCAACCCUCGGAUGCCGAUCGAUACUGUCGGGCUAGAGUCCGGAAGAGGCGAGUGGAAUUCCUGGUGUAGCGGUGAAAUGCGCAGAUAUCAGGAGGAACACCAAUGGCGAAGGCAGGUCACUGGGCCGCAACUGACGCUGAGGAGCGAAAGCAUGGGGAGCGAACAGG
Molecule: ribosomal RNA, 253 nt
Filed under: uncultured bacterium
Lineage: Bacteria
Description: partial 16S ribosomal RNA
Rfam family: Bacterial small subunit ribosomal RNA
Source: RNAcentral